CCCGGCGGCAAGAGGCGGCGGGAAACACCCGUUCCCAUGCCGAACACGGAAGUUAAGACGCCGGCCGACGAUGAUACCGAGCCGGAAUGGCUAGGGAAAGUAGGGGCCGCCGGGG
RNAcentral lists this ribosomal RNA (115 nucleotides) under Candidatus Fibrimonadaceae bacterium. The record is from RNAcentral. Lineage: Bacteria; Pseudomonadati; Fibrobacterota; Fibrobacteria; Candidatus Fibrimonadales; Candidatus Fibrimonadaceae.